UAACAAUGGGAACUAUAAGUGGGGAANAAAU
This 31-nucleotide non-coding RNA is filed under the name Rattus norvegicus (Norway rat). Lineage: Eukaryota; Metazoa; Chordata; Mammalia; Rodentia; Muridae. The record is from RNAcentral.